RNAcentral lists this ribosomal RNA (514 nucleotides) under uncultured bacterium. Its description in RNAcentral is "bacterial SSU rRNA". It matches the Rfam family "Bacterial small subunit ribosomal RNA", at positions 32 to 518 of the family's 1533-position model. The record is from RNAcentral.
AACGCUGGCGGCGUGCCUAAUACAUGCAAGUCGAACGGUCUUUCUAUGGAAGCUUGCUUCCACUGAAAAGAUAGUGGCGAACGGGUGAGUAACACGUGGGUAACCUGCCCAUAAGAGGGGGAUAACAUCCGGAAACGGGUGCUAAUACCGCAUAGUUUUCUUGAUCGCAUGAUCGGGAAAGGAAAGACGGCCUUUGUGCUGUCGCUUAUGGAUGGACCCGCGGCGUAUUAGUUAGUUGGUGAGGUAACGGCUCACCAAGACGAUGAUACGUAGCCGACCUGAGAGGGUGAUCGGCCACAUUGGGACUGAGACACGGCCCAAACUCCUACGGGAGGCAGCAGUAGGGAAUCUUCCGCAAUGGACGAAAGUCUGACGGAGCAACGCCGCGUGAGUGAAGAAAAGGUUUUCGGAUCGUAAAACUCUGUUGUCAGAGAAGAACAAGUUGGAGAGUAACUGCUCCAGCCUUGACGGUAUCUGACCAGAAAGCCACGGCUAACUACGUGCCAGCAGCCGC